GAAGAUGGAGAGCUUGCAAUAAAAGACUUCGAGACAUUCAAUUUAGCCUUAUAUAAUGUAGUCUAAUGAAGACAUUAAAAAUCAAUCAAAUCAAAUAUCUUUUUUAUUUUAUUUAAUUUAUCUUUCUUUUAAUUUUAUUUAACUUUCUUGACGUUAUUAGAAAUUUAAAUUUAACACUCUAUAUGAAACAAAUUGAUAUUAUUUAGACCUUUAAGUUUUAAUUUUACAAAACAAGAGACUAUCUAUUUACCAAAGAGGCUGUCCAUAAUCACUCAAAUCUCAUCUUCCUUAGGACAAGUUCUUUAUUCUUUUUCACCUCCAUUUUCUUCACCUCCAUUUUCUUCACCUCCUUCACCACCACUCCCUUCUAAGCUUGAUCCACUUGAACCUUGUCCACCAGUUUUGCCUGUUUUUCCAAGUUUUCUAUUUCUUUUCCAAUUUCUCCAUGGAUCAUAUACAUAUACAUGUAUCCCAAUUUUUGUUUUUAAUUCUGUUGUUGUUGUAUAAACUGCAAAACAAUAAAUAGUUUUUGUUAAAUAUUAAUAAAGGAAAAAUGAAAUUGCACGUUUAACUUAAAUAUAUGUAUACGUUGUUUCUCAUCUUUGGAUGAUUCAAUUGAUACAAUGGAGAUGAUAAUUAAUGCACAAACAAACAACACGGAGAUACAAAUUUUAGUUUUCAUCCUUGAUGAAGAAUAUAUGUAAUGAGUGUGAAUAAAAAAGCAAUUAUUUAUAGUGAUCAUUAGUUAUGAUAUUUAAAAUAUGAAUAAAAAGAGUUUGAUUAGAUAAUAUAUUAUACAUAAAAAAAAUAUAUAUAUAUAUAUCAAUUGGCAGUUUGUGAGAAUAAUAUGCUAUCACACUUAUUAAGCCAUUGAAAGGAUAAAUUUGAACAUAUUAAUCAAAGGAGGUAAGAAGGUUUUUUACACAAUGACAAUUAACAAGAGAUUAAAAAGUUUGAUUAUUUCUUUAACCUUUGAACUCUUAAAAGGUUUUAAUUUUGGGUUACCCUUAACUCACAUGAUAAUCCUAUUUUUCAAAACUUUUACAAUCUAAAAUAAACUAUACUAAAAAAAACUCUAGACUAUACUAGGAUCCGAUGAGUUACAUUUUAAUAUUUGUUUAGCCUUUCUCAACAUUAAAAACAUUAUUUAGUUCGAUUUGUACUUAUUUUAGAGUAAAAUCUUAUAUUUGUGUGAUUUUAUGUUGGUAUUAUGUGUGUAUUUUAGAUACUUAUCAAUCAGAGGCCUCUGCAUAGUAAAACGAUGAAAAAUAGUUUAAAAAAACACUUUAUUCUAUGUUUUAUGUUGUCAUCACGGGCACAACCUAGUCAAGACGAACGUCACACAACACAUGGUCAGACUGUCGCCGAUAAUAGUCAACGAAACAAGGAGCGCUAGUCAACAACCCAUGACGGGCGGACCGUCAUCCUAGCUAUCGCUCGUCAUGGCUCACGAUCCAACAUCCACUUGAAGGAGUCAUGACGGGUAGGAUGUCAGCCCAAUUUACGCCCGUCAUGAGGUUAAUACCCAAUUGUAUAGCACCAGUAUCAACAAUGCAGCUUCACUACUUCCCCACUUUCUCCCACUCAUUUUGCACGAUUACAACAGUUAUAGUUAUAGUACACACUUUAGCCUAUAAAUAGGUCCUUUAAACACAUAAUUUGGCAUCCAAAUUUACAUUUAGUCACAAAUUUACUCUUGUAAAACAUAAAUACUCCACAAUGAAGUCUUUAUGCAAUUUAUCUUAUGCAUCUUUUAGAGUUUUUGCUGCUGAAUUUUUUUUUGCUACUACAAUUAUCUAUUUCCUGCAUUGUUAUUUGAAAUUUGUUGUUGUACCAAAUAAAAGUCUCCCUUCAGAGCAAUUUAUUUAUGCAAGUUUUAAUCUUUAUUCACUUUACAAAUCCUUUUACUUUUACGGCUUCUUCAAUUAUGUCUUAUUUAAUUGCAUGAUUUUUAGUUAUUUACUUUACCAUGUUUGAGUAGUUUUAUAUAGGAUUUGAAACAUGAGGACCGUUUACCGGUAAAAUUCACACGAAAUGCUCCAUUAGAUUAAAUAUAAUGAGACUAAUUAUGUUUUGCAAUUUAUGUGUAAACGAUAAAAGAUGUUCGCUAUGAAAUUAGAAAUAAAGAUAUACCAUUUAUGCACCUAAAGCGACGAUAUUUGACUUAAAAGUUCGAACGAUCAGUUCUGACAACGUGCAAAAGCAAGGUCAAAAUUAGUAAAAAAAAAAUACUUAAAAUUCCGUUUUGAAAUAAUAGUUUUGAAAAGUAAAAACUUACUACGAAAGUUGAAACUAGAGAUACCAGUUACGUAUCGAAAGAGCGAAAUCGAUAUCUGACACCAUUAUUUAAACAAUUAAUUUUAAGGUAGUGAAAACAUCUUGAAAUUCAUUGAGGAAUUAUUUUCAAAUUUAUUAGAACUUUAGAUGUAUUAGUUUCACUACGAAAGCUGGUUUUUAAUGUAUUUAGAAAUCCGAAGACAUACACGCGAAAGCGGGCGUUGCUAUUAGUUGAAUAUUUUCUACAUAUUAAUUUUUAUUCUCAUUAUAAUAAACAACUACAUUUUGUAUAUAAAUAGAAUUGGUAGAUGAGAAUUGACGUUUCGAUACCUUAUUUGUUAUUUUGUUUAUUUAAACUAAUUUACUGCAUUAUUUACCUUUUCGCUAAAACAAACCAUACACAUAACCUUAGAUAAACAAAGUAAUAAUAGAUAGCGAUACUUGUCUCGGUGGGAUUCGAUAAUCUUUUUUUUACUAAAACCGAUAAAGUCGUGCACUUGCGGCCUAUCAAGUUUUUGGUUGCGCUGUUGGUGACCAAUUUCUUCAAUAUCAUAACCCUGUUAUUACAAUGUAUAGACUAAGGCAUUUUUCAUGUUUAAUUAAUUUUCCCCUCGUGUUGGUUGUAUGCGAAAAACCCGUAACACCAGGAUCCUAGUAAAACCGAUCAACGAAAUUGAGCAUUUCCUAUGUUUUAGAUGCCAAAUUCAGCAAAUUCAACAAGAAAUGACUGAAAAUGACAAUCGUUCAAGUAUUGUUAAUCCUGCAAUCCAGGCUAACAAAUUCGAGUUAAAACCCUAUUUGUUGCAGAUCGUGCAACAUAACCAAUUCUUUGGUAACCCCACGGAGGAUCCAAGUUUGCACAUCUCCGUCUUUGUGCAAUUCGCUGACACGUUAAAAAGUAAUGGCGUCGACCCCAAAGCCAUUCAAUUGCAUCUAUUUUCUUUCUUCCUAAAGGACAUAGCCAAAGUUUGUCUAUAGUCUCUACUAUCAAAUUCCAUAACCAGAUGGAAUGAAUUAAAGAAAGCUCUCAUUGCUAAGUACUUUGCGCCGAGCAAAACAACACAGUUGAUGAACCAAAUUACACGCUUCAGGAAUUUGGAUGGUGAAUCACUCUUAUAAGCAUGAGAGCAUUAUAAGGAAUUGAUUAGAGCUUAUCCCCACCACAGAUUAGAAAAGUUGCUAAUAAUCCAUAAUUUUUACAACGAUCUUCUUUAUAACACAAGAAUGACCAUUGAUAUCGCUACUGGAGGAGCCUUGACAAAUAAACCCUUCAAUGAUGUAGAUGCUCUCAUCGAAAACAUGUCUCAAAACCAUUACUAGUGAGGGAGUGAACACACUCCUGUAGAGAAGUCGCAACCGAGAGGAGAGAUGUACGAAGUUAGUAGCUUCGAUCAUAUGAAUGCGGAAUUUGAUGCUCUUCCUUCCAAACUUAUAAAAAUACCUAUUUUUAAGAACUCUUGCUGCAGAUUUAACAUAGUUGAAAGACAUGUCGAUGAACCCCCCUCUAAACAAGUUCCCCCAGACAUAGUGAAAACACACCUAGUGAGUGAUACCAUCCAUAAUAGAAAAGGAAAAUAAGUCAGGGCUUACAAGAAGGUGCUACAUGGAAUCCUUAUUAUUUUAGACCAAAACUUUAAGAAAGAAGGGUUAACCCUAGUACAUGGGACGACUCAAAAGGUGAAGAAGAAACCUAUACCACAUACCUCAUGUAUGAACCUCCCCAUAAAAAGAGAGACAAAGUUAAAAUACAUAUGAGUUGGUUCGAGAUAUUCAAAUGGAAUCCUAAAGCUGUUGGGCAUGAUAUUGAGCACAAUGUCAAUGAUAUAAGUCUGAAAGAGGUUCCCUCUUGAUUUAGAGGGUCAAGAAAAGUCGAGCUAUCCGACUCUAAACAAAACAUUGUGUGGGAGGCAACCCAUAGGUUUUUUAAUUUAAUUUUUUUACUUUUCUUUGUUUGAAUUUACAGAAAAUAAAAAGAGAUCGAUCGCUUGACACAUACUGCAACACCCCGAUUUAUAUAUUCGCUUAUUUAAUUAUUUAUUUAUUUUAAGUGAGUAAUUUAUUUAAAUAAUUAUUUUGUGAAUAUGUGACAUAUUUGCCCAUUGAUGGUAUGUAUGGUGUUUUGUGUUAAUUAAUUGGGUUAGUGAAGAUUAAUUAAUAAUUUAAUUGGAAAUUGGUGAGAAUAUGUAGAAUUGGGUCAAUUUUGGGAAUUGAGAGAGUUAGUGGUAAGUGGAGAAAGGUUUAACUUUAGUUGGGAAAAAGUGUAAUUAUGAGAAUCUGAGUAAAAUAAUGUAUAUUCUUAAGUUAUACUAAGAAGUAGGUUUUUAGAGCUAUUUUCAUCAAUAUGUGACAAUAGUGGAUUUUAGAGAAAAACCUUAGAAGAGAGAGUGCUAGGACUUGAGAAAAGAAACUUUAGAGAGCUUGUUUGCUGAAUUUUUCUGGAAUUACAAGGUAGGGGGAUUCUUCAUCUAUAAGUGAUUAAUUCAUGAAAGGGUAGAGAGGUUUCCCUUAACCUCCCAUAGAAAUUUCUCUCUUUGUGUUGAUUGUGUGUGAUAAUGAAUAAUAUGAUUUCAAUUAUGUUUUUAUGCUAUGAUUCCUUGAAAAUCCAUGUAUUGUAUUUGGGGUAUUUGUUUUGUAUGUUAUGUGUUCAUAAACAUGAGUUUUUGUAUGGAAUUGAGGUUUUUAAAGCAUGAAUAAAUUUUUUACGGUAAAAUCAUUGAAAUAACAUGUUAGAUUCAUAUGAACUUGUAUGCUUUUGUGUGGGAAUAAUGUGAGUCAUGUUUCUGCACAGUUUGGGAGUGUUUAGAGUGAUUUUUAGAGAGUUUUUGCAGACAAUGUAAUAUUUAAGUAUUCCCGCUUUUAUUAGUUUUAAUUUAUUUGAUUUUUAGAUUAUUAACUUUCUACUAGGAUUUCCAUGUUUUAUAGUUUAGGACUUUUAAUUUUAUUGUUAGUUUAGUGCUAUCAAGGCAAUGCAUGUGUUGUCGAGUCAUUUAUGUGUAUAUUUUUGCUAUGUUAUUGAUUUUUCCCAUUUUUUGAACUGAACAAUUUUUUUGAAAAGGCUUAGGAUUAGUGGAUCAUUUAGAAAGUAUAUAGGUUCCAAAGUAGGAUAGGUUAAGGUUAAGGAUACUUGGGAAAAUUCUGACAAAGUCGGUAUUGUACCAACACCUAAAACCUCCCAAAUAUGGAUAUCAAUUUAGAUACUCGUUGUGCCAUAGUCUCGAAUUUCUAUUUUAUAGUAAUCCUCGAUUAGUUUGUUUAUCCAAUUAGACAUAUUCUAUAGUCACACAUUAAGUAGGUUAGUCGAUGAACAUAAGCAAAAAAUUUGAAGCUUAAAAAUGGACAAUUGCAUCUACUAAGUUAAGUAAACUUCACCCGGUUACUUAGCCCAAAGAUGGUUGAACCUAAAAAAUCAAGGAUUUAAAAAAUUGCAUCUUUGAUCAAAAUGUCUAAAUGCAAAAAGAUGAAUAAAAACACUAACCGGUUUUCUAUCAUGUGUGUGACAUUUAUAUAGAUAUCUAAGUGCCUUAAGGUGAUUGCCUCGAAUGAAAGAUGAUGAAAUAAAUAGGAGAGUGAGACUAAGAUACAACGACACAAUUGGAAUUGAUAUGUAUAUGAGGGAGACUUUUAUAUGUAAAAUGCAAUUAGUUUUGUCACAAUAUCCUUAGUGUUGAUGCCAAUACCUAUCGAAUUAACCUUUGGCCAAUUUAACUUUGGAAGCACGUAUGAGCAUUUGUGAUGUUGUUUUUCUUGAAUCCUUUUAAUGUUAAGUUGCUGAAUUUUAUAUUUUUCAUAUGCAAGCUAAGUUGCUUGAGGACAAACAACAGUUAAAGUGUGGGGGAGUUCGAUAACAUGUAAAAUGCACUAUUUUAUUUAACUAUAUUUACACUUGUUUUAGAGUAAAUUCAUACAUUUGUGUGGUUUUGUGUUGGUAUAAUGUGUGUAUUAUAUGUACUUAUCAAUCAAAGGUGUUUGCAUGAUAAAAUGAUGAAAAAUGUAAAAAACGACACUUUAUUCUAAGCUUUAUACUGUCAUAACGGGCAUAGCCAAGUCAUGACGGGUGUAUCACAACACAAAGCUAGACCGUCACUGUUAAAAGUCAAAGAAACAAGGAGCGCUAGUUAAAAACCAUGACGUGCAGACCGUCAGCCUGACUGACGUUCGUCAUGGCCCACGAUCCAGCAUCCUCUUGAAGGAGUCAUGACGGGUAAGCCAUCAGCCUAGCUAACACCCAUCAUGAGGUUAAUGCUUAGUUUUCUUGUACCAGUAUCAGUAGUGCAGUUUCACCACUUCUCCAACUUUCUCUCACUCAUUUUGCACGAUUACAUUAGCUCCAGUACAAACUUUAGCCUAUAAAUAGGUCCUUUAAACUCAUAAUUUGGCAUUCAAGCUUACAUUUAGCCAUAAAUUUACUCUUGUAAAGCAUAAGUACUUCACAUUGAAGUGUUUAUGCAAUUUAUUUUCUGCAUUUUUUAGAGUUUUUGCUGCUGAAUUUUAUUUCCUGGUGUAACAUUUGUCUAUUUCCUGCAUUGUUAUUUCAAGUUUGUAGUUGUACCAGAUAUAACUCUCCCUUCAGAGAAAUUUAUUUAUGCAAGUUUCAAUCUUUAUUCACUUUCCGGUUUCUUUUACUUUGAUUACUUCUUCAAUUAUGUCUUAUUAAAUUGCGUGCUCUUUAAUUAUUUAUUUUACCAUAUGUGAGUAGAUUUAUAUAGGGUCCGAAACAUGAGGACUGGUUACCAGCAAAAUUCAUAGAAAAUGCCAAAUUAAAUUAAAUAUAAUGAGAAUAAUUCUCUUUUGCAAUUUCAGUGUAAACGAUAGAAAAUAUUUGCUACGAAAAUAGAAAUAAAGAGAUAUCGUUUAUGCACCUACAGGGGCAAUAUCAGACUGAGAAAUUCGAUGUGAAAGCAUGGUCAAAAUUAAUCAAGAAAAUACUUAAAAUUUUAGUUUUGAAAAGUAAAAACUUAAUCCAAAAGUAGAAGGUAGAGAUAUUGGUUACGUAUCGAAAGAGCGGAACCGAUCUCUGACACCAUUAUUUAAAAAUCAAUUUCAAGGUAGUGAAGACAACAUGAAAUCCAUUGAUGAAUUAUUUUCAACUUUAAAAUAAUUUUAGAUAUAUUAAUUUCACUGCGAAAGUCCGUUUUUAACAUAUUUAGGAAUCCGACGACAGAGACGCGAAAAUGGGUGUUGCUAUUAGUUGAAUAUUCUCUACAUAUCAACUUAUUCUCAUUAUAAUAAACAAAUACAUUUUGUAAGAAUAGAAUCGAUAGACGAUAAUCAACGUUUCAGUCCCUUACCUGUUAUUUAAUUUAUUUACACCAAUUUACCGCAUUAUUAACCUUUUCGCUAAAACAAACCAUAUGCAUAGCCUUAAAUAAACAAAAUAAUAAUAGAUAAAGAUACUUCAAUUGGUCAUUGUGAUAUUCAACAAUCUUUUAUACUAAAACUGAUAAAGUCGUGCACUUGCAGCCUAUCAAUUAUUCAAUAUUUGAUUUUUUUUAAUAUGUAAAAGUUAUGCGAAUGUUUAGAUAAACAACUUAUUUUCAUCGGUUUAUAAAAAGGGUUAAAUAUGUUAGGAAUCCCUCCAUAAUUCAAUGUUAGUUCCUAUAAAAAAAUCUUUUGAAUAAAGGUCAUCCUAAAAAUUUUCAUCCACAAUUUAGUUUCUACUGUCUACUUCCUCUAACGAAAGGUGACGUGACACGCCACAUGAAAGAUCCGGUAAGUUACAUGAAAUAAAGAGAAGAUUAUGACAUGAGUCACUUCAAAGAUAGAGUAGUGACACCGUUGAAUAGUUUUUGUCGUUCUCAAAUUCAUGUUAAACAAAUUCAAGCGCAAGUCAUAGUUCACAACCUUCAAUCAAACACCACAAUCCCAUACAACUUCAUCACUGCAUCUCAAUCUCACAAUCUUCUCAUCUUAGUUUUACCUUUCUUCAUUGCAGCUUUCGAUUCUCUUCAGGCAUGACGCAUGUUCUGAUAUUGAAUGCCAAUAUCCAUUUUCCAAAAACAUUUUUUUUUUCAAAAAAAAACAGUUUUUUUAAUGAAAAUAAACAAAUAUUUUUCUACAAUUUUUUAUUUUUGAAAAUAAAUAUUUUUUCUUAAAAUAAAAAAAUAUAGAUUUUUAAAAUAAAAAAAUUCUUGCAAAAAAACGAUUUAAAAAAUAUUAAAUAAAAACUAAUUAUAAAAUUGAUUAUGAAUGUAAUCGGUUAAUAACUGAUUUAUAACUAUUUUAUAAAAAGUGAAAUCCAAUUAUGACAAUUGAUUUUAAUAAUCGAUUAUAACAUAUGGAUUAUUUAUGGUUUUGGAUUGAUAAUGAAAAUUAAUCAUCUUUGAGCAUCCUUAGGGACAUGGAGGUCAGUUAGGCCUGAUAAAUUUACUUUUAGUAAUUGCUUGGUAUGGGUCAAAUGCUUGAUGAAUUUUGAAUUUAACAAUUAAGGAGUUUUGUAACCCCGCAAUCUAUUUCUAUUUUGUAGUGAUGUUGACAAAAUAUUCUACGUGGUGCGCCACAUGAAUUUCUGUUUGAGAAAGUAGACGAUAGAGAUCAAAAUUAUAAACAAAAAAUAUUAGGAGGACUAUUAUUAGAAUUUUUUUUAUUAAUAUUAAAAUUCAAUUAUGAGUUAUUUAUAAAAAAACAUAUUUAAUCCUAAAAAAUAAUUUUUUAUAAGUUAUUUUAAUAACUAAAGUGAGAUAAAUUUAAAUUACUUUUACGUAUACUAUCAGUUAUUUUGAUAUGCUAACUUUAAGAACUUAUAAAAAUAAACACAAAAAACUUUAUGAUUUUUUUUUAUAAAUAGUGAUGAUAUAGUAUUUAUAAAAAUUGAGGCAUGAUGAACUCAGGGUCAUUAUCACUUCUAAUGAUUUUAGGUUUGGAAUUGUGUUGAGUCUCAAUCAUUUUGAUAAAGUUUAUGACAUUUUGCUUAGUUUCAGAUUUGGCUUUCAUUAAAAUAAUCCAGGUAUAUCUGCUAAAAUCAUCUACUGUAGUAAAAAAAUAAGAGUGAUCAUGAUGAGAUUUUACAACAAUGGGACCCCAAAUGUCAAAGUGAAUCAAUUGAAAAGGAUGUUUGGAUUUAUUGAAACUGGAAUGGUAAGGAUUUAUUUUAUGCUUGGCAUAAUGGCAUACAUCACAAGCAACAUUUUUGUCUACAACAAUAAAGGGAAAAAUAGUAUGAAGGGAUUGCAUUCUACUAGGUGAAAGGUGGUCUAAUCGAAAAUGCCAUAAGGCAAUGUCAGGUAAAUUGUAGGUUGAAGAGUGGUAGGUAGCAUGAGCAUCACCAUGCUUGUCUUUGAGGAUUAAGUGGUACAUUCCUUCAAAGCUGUCAGCCAAACCAAUAAUCUGCCUAGUAGUGGGAUCCUGAAUAAAACAAUUAUCAUGAGUAAAAUUGACUUUGUACUUGGAUUGUUUACAUAAUUGUGAGAUUGAAAUAAGAUUGACAGAAAUAUCAGCAAUGUAUAGUACAUUAUUGAUGACAAAAUUAGAAGAAAACAUGAUUGAACCAACAUGUUUAGCUAAUGCAAUUUGCCCAUUUGGAAGCCUGACACUAAUUGGUGGAAUGGUUUUAUAUGUUUGAAACCAUGAAAAAGAUGAACAAAUAUGAUCACUAGCUCCUGAAUCAAUGAUCCAAGAGUUUGAAGAACAACAUUUAUAAGCAAAAGUUUGAGAAUUACCCUCAUUGUGCAAAGGUAGGUGGGUUAUGGAUGAGCCAACUUGGUUGGAAACAACAUGAAUAUUACCUUGGUUGAUGGAUGAGGUCUGAAGGAGGUUCAUUAGGGCCUCAUAUUGGUCCUGAGUGAUUGUAGGAUAAGUUUGGAGUUGCUAUCUUCACCUUAAGUUGUGGCCACAUUAUUUGUCAUGGAUGCCUUGACAAAAUGAGGUGGAAACCCAUGUUUUCGAUAACAUACAUCAAUUGUGUGUCCAGUUCUACCAUAAUGCAUGCAAACUUUGGAUCCGGAAGAAGUAGAAGGAUUAGUAUAACUGUUAUACUUAACAUAAGGUUUCUUGUAUCCUACGACAUUGAUUAAAGCAUGAGAUUCUUCUUUAGAAGCAAAGUUCCCUUGUCUCUCAUGUUGAAGUACCAUUGAGAAUAUCCUAUUCAUGCUAGGUAGGGGUUCAAUGAGCAAUAUUUGAGACCUAACUACUGCAAAAUUAUCAUUCAAACCAGUUAGAAAUCGAACAUCAUGAAGUAAAGUGUGAUUCUUGUGAUCUUGUCUCAUAGCUUCACAAGAGCAUCUGAUUCUACAACUGGAAUUAGGCAUAGACAUGUAGAUUUCAAGUUCUUCCCAAAGAACUUUCAAUGUAAAGUAGAAAUCUGUAUCUGUUUUGGAAUCUUGUUUUAAGAUAUAAAUUUCUUGUUGUAAUUCAGAAAUUCAAACAAGAUCUCCUUGUGAAAAUCUUUCUUUUAGAUCAUUCCAAGCAUCAACAAUAUUUUCCAAGAAAAUAAUCGACUGUGCAAUGGAUUCAGAUACAAAAUUGACUAACCAUGAGUGAAUGAACAUAUUGCACCUGUUCCAUGCACGGUAAGAAGGAUGGAAAUCAUCUACAGUAACUGGUAUGGUGUCAUCAACGAAUUCAAGCUUCAUCUUUCCUCCCAAAGCUCCGCGCAUAGCUCUGGCCCAUGAAUGAUAGUUUGAACCUUUAAGAAUCGGUGUAACCUUGACUGAUGAAGGUCCAUCACUUGGAUGAACAUGGUAAGGAUUGGUGAUAUCUGCUUGUGGAUCAAUGCGAGGCGGCAUGGUGAAAGAACAGAGAAGACGAAAGAGAGAAAAAAAAUAGAAUCAAAGAUGAAUGGAAUGAGGUGGAUCGAUAAAGGCAUGUGAUAUCAUGUUGAGAAACUGAACAAGGUCCAUGGCUUGGUUAUGGAGUCAUGAACUCUCUAGAAAGACUCCAUGAAUGAAGCUUAAAAAACAAGUAAAGAAGAAAAAGAGAGAGAAAGAGAAUUGAACAUUAUGACAUCAUCAUCAUUUCUUAUCAUUCACAUUACAAGAGAUGAAUAUAUAUAGGUGAUAAAAGAAAUUACAACUGCUUAACAAACUCCAAUUAACCACUUAUAACUAACUUUCCUAGAAUAGUAAACACCGAUAACAAACUUACAAUCUAACUAUAAAAGAAAAGGUGCAGCAAUGAUGAAGAAAAUGCAAGUAUUUUAACAAUUGUGAAGGACAAAUAUCAUGAUUGAAAUAAGUCUUGCCUACUAACAUGAAUAUCUCUAGUCGGACCUUUUUAUAUAUGAUUUGGCCACAUCUGUUUAUUAAAAAUGGGAGACUUAAGCUUAUAUAAAAAAACUUUUUUAAUUGAAUAGGUUAGAAGCGUUUGAUGUCAUGAUCUUUUAUCAAGCAUCACAAAACAAUGUUUAAUUUAAAUUUUAAAGUAAUAUAAGUAUAAAGUUUUGUUGUUGUUAUAUAUACAUAGUUUAUAUAUAAAGUUGUGUAUACAUAAAGUGUUUGCAGAUUUAUAAAACUCAAAUCAAACGUGUUGUCAAACAUAUGUGUAUAUAAAAACAUGAAUUUAUUUAUGUGUACUUAGAAAUUUUCGUAGUGAAAUUAUAAUUAUAUAUUAGGAUUAAUACAUUUUAUCCCGCCAUAGAGUAGAAUUCUAGUUUAGAUUCUUGUAAUUUUUUUUUGUAAUUGUUACAAGAAGAUUCUGUUUUUUUAUACCAUAUGAAAUUAAUUUUUUAUAAAAUUAAUCUUUUUAUAUUAAGAUUCUGUUGUUUUAAAAUAGUAAAAUUAUACUUUUUUUAACCAACCUUGUUAUUUUUAUAUGGCAAUGUUAAUUUGAAUUUUUUUUAUAAGUUUAGUUUUACAAGAUUAAUUUAAAUAACAUCACAUAGCAACAAGUUGAACAAAAUAAUAUAAAGGGUGUCAAUGAAAGUUAUAUCAUCUUUAUAUAUCUUUCAUCUGGUUUAAUUCCUUUGUCUUUUUCACCUCCAGUUCACCUCCUUCACCAC
RNAcentral lists this long non-coding RNA (12208 nucleotides) under Lathyrus oleraceus (garden pea). RNAcentral's name for it is "Pisum sativum (pea) long non-coding RNA (PSAT_LNC000276)". Lineage: Eukaryota; Viridiplantae; Streptophyta; Magnoliopsida; Fabales; Fabaceae. The record is from RNAcentral.